AGAGUUUGAUCAUGGCUCAGGAUGAACGCUGGCGGCGUGCCUAAUACAUGCAAGUCGAGCGCGAGAGUGAGGAGCUUGCUCCUUAAUCUCGAGCGGCGGACGGGUGAGUAACACGUAGGCAACCUACCCUUGAGAUUGGGAUAACUACCGGAAACGGUAGCUAAUACCGGAUACGACUUUUCCGCAUAAGUGGAAUUGUUAAAAGGCGGAUUUAUCUGCCGCUCAUGGAUGGGCCUGCGGUGCAUUAGCUAGUUGGUGAGGUAGUGGCUCACCAAGGCGACGAUGCAUAGCCGACCUGAGAGGGUGAUCGGCCACACUGGGACUGAGACACGGCCCAGACUCCUACGGGAGGCAGCAGUAGGGAAUCUUCCGCAAUGGACGCAAGUCUGACGGAGCAACGCCGCGUGAGUGAUGAAGGGUUUCGGCUCGUAAAACUCUGUUGUUAAGGAAGAACACUUGAGGUAGUAACUGGCCUUGAGAUGACGGUACUUAACCAGAAAGCCACGGCUAACUACGUGCCAGCAGCCGCGGUAAUACGUAGGUGGCAAGCGUUAUCCGGAAUUAUUGGGCGUAAAGCGCGCGUAGGCGGUAAAAUAAGUCUGAUGUGAAAGCCCCCGGCUCAACCGGGGAGGGUCAUUGGAAACUGUUUUACUUGAGUACAGAAGAGGAGAGUGGAAUUCCAUGUGUAGCGGUGAAAUGCGCAGAGAUAUGGAGGAACACCAGUGGCGAAGGCGGCUCUCUGGUCUGUAACUGACGCUGAGGUGCGAAAGCGUGGGGAUCAAACAGGAUUAGAUACCCUGGUAGUCC
Molecule: ribosomal RNA, 807 nt
Filed under: uncultured bacterium
Lineage: Bacteria
Description: bacterial SSU rRNA
Rfam family: Bacterial small subunit ribosomal RNA
Source: RNAcentral